Non-coding RNA from Triticum aestivum (bread wheat), 109 nucleotides. NCBI's taxonomy places the organism in Eukaryota, Viridiplantae, Streptophyta, Magnoliopsida, Poales, Poaceae. The record is from Rfam.
AUGGUACUCCCUCCGUCCGGAAAUACUUGUCAUCAAAAUGGAUAAAAGGGAAUGUAAUCUCUUUUUAUCCAUUUUGAUGACAAGUAUUUUCGGACGGAGGGAGUAUGUC